RNAcentral lists this ribosomal RNA (1644 nucleotides) under Triticum aestivum (bread wheat). RNAcentral's name for it is "partial small subunit ribosomal RNA". Lineage: Eukaryota; Viridiplantae; Streptophyta; Magnoliopsida; Poales; Poaceae. The record is from RNAcentral.
AUGGACUCAGAGGGAACAACUUGUCUAUAUAUAAAUGAAGCCAUCGCCAUGUCCAUUGCAUUUGCACCUUACAUCCAAGUAAGUAGUCCUCCCCACACCGCACUAGCGAUAAUAAUGUCACUCAUCUCCACAGCACUUGUGCUACUUGUUCCCCUAGGUCUUUACUUGUACAUGUGGUCUUGUACUCAUAGUAGAUCAAAUGACCCAGCAGCAGCAGUGCCCCCCACAAAAUGGCCAAUACUAGGCAUGCUCCCUGGUCUCGUGGCCAACAUCUACAACUUCCAUGAGUACAGCUAUGCGCUCCUCGCCGGAUCAGGCCUCAACUUCAAUGGGGACGGCCCGCCUGGGGCCGGGAUGCGGUUCUUCAUCACCUGCGACCCUGCCAACAUCCAGCACAUCUUCACGACCAACUACUCCAACUUCCCCAAGGGCGCCGAAUUCGCCGCCAUAUUCGACGUCAUGGCUGGUGGCUUCUUCACCAUCGAUGGCGAGCUGUGGCGCUUGCGCCGCAUGAAGUUCGUGGGCGUGAUCAGAAGCCCACGGUUUGCUGACCGUGUGGCAGCUCAUUGCCAUGACAAGGUGAAGAACCACCUCCUCCCGUUGCUUGCCCGCAUGGCGAGCACUAGCACUUCGUUCGACAUGCAAGAAGUAAUGGCGAGGUUAAUGUUUGACAUCACCGCCAUGACAGUCUUUAGCGUUGACCCUGGCUUCCUGUCCUUGGACAUGCCUCUGAUUGACGCCUCCCUUGCCAUGGACACGGUCAUGGAGGUGGGGUUUCUCCGACACACCAUGCCGGCCUCUUUGUGGAAGACAUUGAGGUGGCUAAAUAUUGGCCCCGAGAGAAGGCUCCACGAAGCAAACAGAGUGCUCCGCAGGUUUGUCGUGGAUACGAUGGAGAGGAGGAAGACCAACGGAGGCCAAGAUGAGGAUGAAGAGGUUGUGGGGGAUAUUUUAUCUCUCUACAUCAAUGACCCAGACUACGCUGACGAUGACUUGCUCUGUGGAACACUCAUUAGCUUCAUGCUCGCUGGGAGGGACACAAUCGGCACAACUCUGCCAUGGAUAUUCUACAGCCUCGCCCAGAACCCUAAUGUCGUGUCAAUCAUCCGUAAUGAACUCUCACCUAUUGCAUCGCACAAAGUAGCCCGCGGCAUGGGUGCCACGGUCAUCUUUGAGCCGGAGGAGACCAAAUCUCUGGUCUAUCUGAGAGCCACCUUGUACGAGACUCUCAGGCUAUACCCACCAGCGCAUAUGGAGCGCAAGACGGUGGUUACCGAUGAUACCAUGCCAAGUGGACAUGAGGUGUACGCCGGUGAUGCCAUCUACAUCUCUCUCUACUCCAUGGGAAGAAUGGAGAGCUUGUGGGGUAAAGACUGCCUUGACUUUAACCCAAACAGAUGGCUCUUGGAGGAUGGCAACAAGAUCAAGUACGUGCCAUCUAACAAGUUCCUGGCCUUCAACUCGGGCCCAAGGAUGUGCCCAGGCAAGGAAAUCGCAGUUGUGCAGAUGAAGACCAUCAUUGCCGCAGUCGUGUGGAACUUUGACCUGGAGCUGGUGGAAAGCCAGAGCAUCCAACCCAAGCUAUCUUGUUUACUGCAGAUGAAAAAUGGGCUCAUGAUGAAGCUGAAGAAACGAGAAGCGUAG